AUGUCCACCUCUCCCAACACCUCCGCGUCCACCGCAUCGACAACCAUUAGCUCCCAGCUUUCCGCCGCUGCCGGUGCUCUCACCAAUUCCUCCGUCUCAGUUGGGUCGAUGAUGACUGGGCAGGUCGCCAUGCCCAGCCUCGCCCAGCUGGUGACGGUGAGACUCUCAAGGGAAAAUCACCUCCUCUGGAAGGCCCAGAUUGUUCCCAUCCUGCGGGGGCAUCAGCUUCUCGGCUUCGUCAACGGUGAGAGCACUCCCCCGGCGCGCCUCAUUCCCGCCUCCACCGCUGAAGGGGCGGAGAUGGUGAUCAACCCAGCCCAUACGGUCUGGCACGCCCAAAACCAGCUGCUCCUUGCCGGAAUCCUCUCCACGCUCUCGCCCGACAUCAUCGCGCGCACGCUGAACUUCACGACCUCGACGCAGAUAUGGGCGGCACUCGAGCGCAUGUACGCCUCGCAGUCUUGCUCUGGGAUCAUGUAG
Molecule: ribosomal RNA, 480 nt
Filed under: Triticum aestivum (bread wheat)
Lineage: Eukaryota; Viridiplantae; Streptophyta; Magnoliopsida; Poales; Poaceae
Description: partial small subunit ribosomal RNA
Source: RNAcentral